UAUGGCACUGGUAGAAUUCAC
Molecule: non-coding RNA, 21 nt
Filed under: Chrysemys picta (Painted turtle)
Lineage: Eukaryota; Metazoa; Chordata; Testudines; Emydidae
Also listed under: 2 other names
Gene: cpi-miR-183-5p
Source: miRBase by way of RNAcentral